RNAcentral lists this non-coding RNA (148 nucleotides) under Nomascus leucogenys (northern white-cheeked gibbon). Lineage: Eukaryota; Metazoa; Chordata; Mammalia; Primates; Hylobatidae. The record is from Rfam by way of RNAcentral.
GCUGGGCACGGUGGCGGGCGCCUGUAAUCCCAGCCACUUGGGAGGCUGAGGCAGGAGAAUUGCUUGAACCCGGGAGGUGGAGUUUGCAAUGAGCCGAGAUCGUGCCACUGCACUCUAGCCUGGGUGACAGAGCAAGACUCUGCCUCAA